Heterocephalus glaber (naked mole-rat) is the source of this 27071-nucleotide long non-coding RNA. Lineage: Eukaryota; Metazoa; Chordata; Mammalia; Rodentia; Bathyergidae. The record is from Ensembl.
UUUCGCCACCUGCUGCGCAAGCUCAAGCGCAAGGACCCAGGUUCGAUCCCCGGUACCAAAAAAGAAGUCAGCAGUGUCGUUGACGCAGAAGUACACUCGAGGGUGGUUCUAACCCUGUUGGGACAUUGCUCUGCUUUUUAAUUGAUAAUGUCUUUCUUUAAUCAGUUUCUCCUUUUUGUUUUCAACUGAGGGUAUAUUGCACUUUAGUAUUUUAGAAGUUUACAAAAUUCUUUUGGAAAGAGGCUUGAGAUACCUUACUGUCAUUAUGGUGGUUACACUUAAUGACAUUUUGUAGGGAACCCUGGUAGUAUUUCCUGGGGUCUUUCUUCAUCUUUUAGUUAUUCUCUUACCUGCUGUUGAUUCCUUCACUGUCCUCCGGUAUCCUCAUUCCCCCCAGUUCUGUGAAACCUGGUGAUCUGGGUGUCCUUUAAGUGGGUCCAGUGAGCAGGCGCUGGCCCCAUGAUGGAAGCUCAGCAAAGGACAGCCAGCUCUCCUCCCCUUCAGGAGGCUCGAGAGGAGGGAGGUUUGUUUAAAUACUGGAAGCUGGCAGCAGGGGACGCUGCAGAGCAAUAUGAUGUCUGCCGAACUCUAGAAAAGCACUGCCUUCUCAGUAACUAACUAUUCCAGCCGGCACUGUAGACAGUGCUGGUCCCACCCUUCCAGUUGUUCAGUUGAUGUUUUAUCCAGGCAGUGUGGCUUUCUGGAAUCAAUCUGUACACUGUAUGAAAACUUCUUGCACAUAUCCUUAAAAAAAGAAGACCGAAAUAAGCAAAUAUUCAGAUCAGCACCACCCCCAUCAUUACCACCACCAUGCACACCUCUCUGAUGUGUAAUAAAAGAAACCUGCAGGCAUAAUUUGUUAUGUAAUAUGCUGAUAAUACAAGUUUCUGUUUUAGAUGGAAACCAGAUGUAGACAGACUCUUUUUUAAUUGAUCCAGCAAGGGGGAAGACUUAUGUAGAUUAACUAGUUCUUGCAGACCCUAAAGGUGGUUUGUUUUUGUUUUAACUUAAAGAGAGAAUCUCAAUUUCAGGACAUUUUUGAGGUUUUUGCCUCUCAGCCUCUGCUUUGCUGCAGCUGUCCUUUUUGUCAGACUCCUCUCUUGAAAGAACUAGUUUGCUGCCAGCAGGAAGCACGUGGCUGGGCCUGGCUGGGCUCAGCAAAACUUACCUCUACUGGGCUCCAGUUCUCCUCAUUGUCUUGUUCUGCUGCUGCCCUGUCCUCCACCUUAUAAAACAAGACCUAGCUGAGGGACUUAGGUGCUGCAAGGAAUGUUGGCAGUCUUCUUUGAUACCUUUCUUAAACAUCUGAUCAUGCAGGGGAGAGUUUCUGUUUAUAUAUUUGUUGAUGAAAACACUUUUCCAAAAAUUACUGACUCUCCUCUGAUUAGUUUGUUUAUUUCAUGCCUAAUUUUAUGAAGGUUCUUUCUACACAACUGAGUCACCAUUGUUAUGGCCCAGGGUUAGGGACUGCACUAUAAUAGCUGACCCCAUUAACAGUAGUUUCAUUGCAUGCUGGGAUGUGAACUUUGGAAACAAACCCAGAGGCUUAGAUAUGCUGAUGUGCCCUGAGACUUGCUUAGAAAAUUUUUGUUUUAGUGCAGUUUACAUUAACAUGAUUAAUGACUAUGCCACUGAAAAGUCUAUAUUCAAAAGCAAUUUACUGUUCCCUAGGGUUCUUCUUAUGGUGGAGUAAUAUUCUGUGCCAAACAACAUUAUUUUUUAAGGUAACUUCUUUGAUACUUAAUCCAAACCUCCUGUGGACAUGGUUUGGGGACAAGGUUUGGGUUUUGUAAGCUUCAGGUUGUGGUUUUGGUGGUGCCUGUCAACCUUAACAAACUCGGGUCAGAAGGAAGCUAGAUUCUUGUCUAAGAAAGUUCUCUGAGAUCCUGAGCAGUAGUUAGGAUGGGAAGAAAUCUUCCGGAGGAAACUUGGCUUCAGGGUAUGUUGGAGGGGAAUGCCAGGAGGCUGGAGCUAAGGACAGUCUUUUUGUUUUUGUUUUGUUUUUUUUUCCUCGAAGGGUCUGGAGAUGCUUGAGUUUUUCCUUGGCCUUUUUGUUUUUGUUUUUUGUUGUUAAAUGUGGGUUGAUUGAGAGGGGAAAUGAUGAUGGGUGGAUCUGAAAGCAGCCUUAGGAACUGCAGAAAAUAAAAACACAUUUGAAGGACUCUGGAAGAUUUUGCAUUUCAAAGGGUCUACCUUGUAGACUUUCACAUCACGUCAGGGGUUACGGAGAAGUGUGACAGGCACCCCUGCUUCUUAAACCAUUCUCCCCUCUCCUCCUGCUGUGGGGGCUGCCUUUUGCAUGGGGGAUGGAGGCAGCUUGGUCAGACCACGCAGGAGCAUCGUGGAAACAAGAGUACCUCCCAGGGAUCUGUGAGGCUCUGGAGGGACUUGUUCCACGGGGCUGCUCUUGGGAAGAUGAAAGCAAGUCGUGUUGGUAAACAGCUCAUUUGACCCCAGAAUGCUGUGGCAGGCCAACUCCUGACUUCUCUACUCCCUCCUUUCGUGCUCCUAUUACACAGAGCAGCAGAUUCAUUCUCUGCCUUGGUAUAAUGUGGUUCUCAAGGGCUUUUCCCAAAUGGAUGCACACUGUUGAAAGAUUCAUAGCAGUACCCACUGGUCAUUGAAAAAUGCCCCCUGGGCUUGGGGCUUUCCGUACACUCUAAUUUCUCAAAGCCAGCCUGCAGUUACAGCUAAAGAAACUGAGGUUCAGAGAGGCCAGGUAAUUGGUGCAAGGUCACACAACUGGAAGGCAGAGAAGACAGUAGCACUAUCCUGAUUUAUUUGGCUUCAGAGCCUCCUUGCUUUCCAUAUACCAUGAUAUUGGUUGGGGUAUUUAUAAGAUAGAAGCACUGGGUUCUGUUUUAUCUCAAAGCAUAAAUUUUGUUUAGUCUUGUUAACACCACAGGGAAACUUAGAAAUUUUAACUGCCUCUUCUCCCUGCCUCUCCCUUUCCUAUGGCUUUUUUUGUGUGUGUGUGUGAUUGAAUUCUGAAUUUUCUGCAGGGCUAAAGACAGUGCCAACUGGGGAGACUGAAAUGUUUUGCUUCAUCUUUACAAAAGACAGAUUCACAAGAAAAUAUAAUUAUUCCCAGUGACCUUCUGGGGGAAACAGGAAAUAAAUCUGGCACUCACUAGAAGCAUCACCAUUCUUUUAGAUUCCAUUUUCUAUUCAAAGAGAUUAUUAAAGGGUUUCUAACGUGUGUGUGUGUGUGUGUGUGUGUGUGUUUGCGUUUGCAAUUCAAAUGUCUCAAAUUAUGUUUUGGGGUAUGGCACCUCAGGUUUGUAGUUUGUACAUUUUGUUUACAUGCCUAAUGUAAUCACGCUUGUACAUCUUCCAGCAUGGUAGAACUUGGUACACUCCAGCCAGGCAGGGCCAGGCAGAGGCCUUGUGUUCUGUCUCAGACAGAUGGCUCUUUGCAGGUUGGUCCUGAUUUGUGUUGAAGGGGAAUGAGCCUGCCUGCCCGGGUCUUUUGUCCAUUCUGCCCCUAAUGAGCUUAUGGAGGAGGCCUGAGGCAUCUGUGUUGUGGGUUUCUGGAAACUAGAGCAGUGGUUCUCAGCCUUGGCUGCACAGUAGAGUCACCUGGGGAGAUUUAGAAAAAAAACCUGGCUGCCCAGUGUUCAUCCAGGACAGUUGCAUCACAACUUGGGAGAGGGGAUAGGACCCAAAUAUGGGGGGUUUUUUUUGGUUUGUUUUUUUUUUUGGUAAUGGGGAAUCGAACUCGGGACCUUGCGUUUGUGAGGCAGGCGGUGGAACCACUGAGCUAAAUCCCUGGCCCUAAUAUUAUAGAUAACUCUUUAAAAAAAAAAAAAAAAAUGGGUAUUUUCAAUGUUCCUGAGUUGAUUCUGCUGUGCAUGCAGGACAGGACUGAGGGUGGGAGUAGACUGUACCAUACCUACCACACUUUGCUUUCCUUAGGAGUGGGAACAUACCUUUUGGAAUUUUCCACUGCUGCCAUGUCUUGGUGAAGAAGAGUUUGAAACAGUGAUAGUAAACCUUUUAGACCUUUCAGUAAUAUUUGACAAGUGGCCUGCUGUGGGACAUGUGCCAUAGGUUUGCUACCCCUGGUUUAAAAGGUACCCACCCCUUGGGCAAAGUGCCUGCUGUGGAUAUCAUCUAGGUACUCUAGUCCUAUUUCUGCCAGCCCAGGAUGUGGGCAUACUUCCCUGCCCAGGGUUCAGUAUAUCCCUUCCAAGCCACCUUCUCUACAGAAUGAAGAUGGCAAGUGCUGCCCAGAUUGUAGUUUCAGUCCCCGCCUCCCAACCAUCCUGGGGUCUUGUUCCUUCUGGAGUUUUGGCAUAUGGUAUGCUGUGGGGGUUAGGGAAAGGAAGAUGCAGUUUAUGUCCAGAGCACAUUUUGGUGAUCUCAGUAAUCAGUUGGCAUUUGGAAGUGAGUGUCACACUGUCAGCCACUCAGUUGUACCUAACAGCUCAGACUUAGCCUCCUACAAACAUACUUGGGAUUGCAUUUCAUAGAAUUGUGUUUAGAAUGGUGAGGAGCCCUGGAGAGUGAGAGCUGCUCUGAUCUGCUGAUUUAAGCUUCCAGAGAGAGAUCUGACUCCCAAGAGCUGAAGUGACUCUUCCAAGGUCACAUAGCAGAGCUUAGAGGGGCAGAUGUGCAUCUAUUGAGUCCCUGGCCCAUAGCUGCAUUCCCUUGAUGUGGGACCUUGUUCCUACUUCCAGGUCAGUCUGUUUUUGCAUAGACCAGAAGGUGACCUGUCAUUGUUCAGAGCCAAGGGAAUAUGCUCAGUGACUCUUGGGCAACUGUGACGGACUGUGCCAGUUUUGGCCCCCUCCACUGAUUUGGAGCCUCAGGACUCCCGGAGGUUGGCUGGGCCAGACUCUUCCUCUGCUGGACGAUAGGUCCCGAUGGAAAGUGCUGAAGUUCAGUGAGAAUGAUGUUGGCCUUUUUGUCAAAAGUCUGUCCUUUUGCUCUUUUGUGCCAUGGUGGUAGUCAGUAAAUAAGAGCUCUACUCCAUGGUGGGAGGUAGCUUUGGGCCUGGUGAGGGGAAAGAGGAGCGUUGUUAUUUUCUCCAGGCCUAUUAUUCCCACAUUCAUCCAGCAGACCUUGACUGGGCCCCUACUGAGUGACUGGCAUGGAGGUGGGUACUUUAGUUCUUUAGUUUAAUUACUCCUCGACAGUCUGGCUGAGGAUUGGCCCCAGUUUAUUGCUGAAGACACUGCUUCUCAGAGGAAUCACAUACCCUAGCAAGAGGACGGUUGGGAUUUGAUCUCCUUCUUCCCACCACACCAUGCUUCCUCUUUAUCCAGUGCCUGCCAGCGCAAAGGCAACCAGCUUCCUGCUGUGCGUAAUGUGUGUUGUCCUGUGGGUGCUCCCCUGGUGACAGCUAACAGGGUGCCAUGCUGCUACUUCCACCAAGGGGCCUUGGGUGGCUGAGUGGUAGAUUUACUGGCUGGGCCUUCAAGUUCCUGGAGAGCUGGGCUUCUCUAGAGUCUUUGUCCCUGCGGUGCCCUUUGUCAAGGAAGUGGCUUGUAUAGGUUCUAGUUGUCGCUGUCUGCCUUCUGUCUCACCCCAUGGAAGCCACCCUCCCUGCCAGGCUGCCCCCUGGUUGAAGCACGAAGCGCCCUGCAGCGCAAAGCCUGGCUGGGAGAGGAGGCCUGGAAUUCCCCUUGCUCUGGCAUUUGUAUUGGCCAGGGGCCUGGGAGUGGAGGGGAGGUUCCAUCUGCUGGCUGGGAGCAGCCUCUUUGCAGGUUUGGAGGUGGAAAGACAGUGUCUCUGAAGCCGGCCUCCUCCAUGCUCUGGGUGAGGACAGGGAGCCUGUUUCCUGGGGCCCAGGGGUGGGUGGGGAAUCUAUUGUUCUGAAUCUUGGAAAAGGGUACAGAAUGCAAGGGAGCCCUCUGGCCCCAGUACUGGGGGCUGGACCCUGGGAACCACCUUCUCAUGAAAUCUCUCCUGCUGUCCAAUGAUUGAAUCUCCCAGGUAGGAGGUAGGAGUACGGUAUCGCUUGCUUGCUGUACCCAGUUUGCCCUGCUAGCCACUCUGGGCCUCAGGUUUCCCCACCUUGUUGGCCCUACCUCCUAGGACUGAGAGUCUGUUUGAGAAGCCCCUUGCAGAGGGUGAGGUGCAUACAGAAGGACUUGAGGUGAGAGAGGAGUCUGACUGGACAGGCAGAGAUUCUGCAUGAGAUCCAAGGCAGGCUUUGUGCCAACAGGGGCCUUCUUGUUAUAGAGAAGCUUGAGGCAGAGUGUAGGUGAAACCCAGUUCUGCAUCAUUUAGGGCAAAGACAGCAUUCAGCUCUGGAAUCAGAGUCCCUGGGUUCAAAUCCCAGGUCUGCCCAUUGCUGCCUGUGCACUUGAGCAGGCGACUGUCUUUUCCAUCCAGGGUUGCCCCAUCUGCAAUAUGACACUGCUGAUAACAGCCCAUGGGUUCAGGGCACUGAGUGAGACCAUGGUGAGGACACUUAGAGCCCAGUGGACAUUAUUGGCAAGCAUGUGCUGUUGGCAGGACAGGUGGAGGGCUCAUGGGUGAAGGACAACAGGAGAGAGUAGAGGGGACUUAGGUUUGAGCUGGGCUUGGCUGGACAGGUCACAUUGGAGAGACAGCCUUAGCUCAUCUGGCAUUCUGUAUUCUCAGAUGACUUGGGAUUUUUUUCAGGAGGAAGGGUUAAAAAUAUGCGUUAUAGUUCAGUUUGCAGUGUGUCUUUUAACAAGAGUUAAGACUGGUGAAAUCUUUUAAGCUUUCUCUUUAGGAAACUAAAUCUCUGUUUACAAAAAGUGAUUUAGUUUGGCCCAUAGAAAAUUAAAUGCAUGUAUGGGUCAUGAUGUGGCUUCAGAAUCUUGGCUGUGCUCUGACCGACAACUUCUGUGAAUGGGUUCUCAGGAAACCUCCAUAGCCAUGUGCCUCUCUGGACUGAGGGUGAGGGGUUCUCCUCUACCACCUCUCAGAUUUUCUUCAGAGUCUUUGGAGCUGAUGUCUUUGUUAUUGAGCCUGUUCUUUUGGGUUGGGGAGCUGCCUUUGACGACUAUAGUUAGCAUCCUCUUGGUUCAGAUUAUGUGGUCACAGCUAGAGUGCUCCCCCCAGCUCUGCCUAGGGUAUGAUUCCAGCUGCUUCCAGACCUCCUCCUGGCCAGCCUUCCCCUAGUGUGAAACUCAGUCUGUCCACGGAGCAAGCUUUUGGAAUGAGCCCUUGAGAAGAUGAGAGGGAAGGGUCUGAGCCUGUGAGGUGGUGUCUGGCCUUCUCUUGGCACAGGCUGCUAAUUCCUGAUACUUUUGCCCCUUGUCAGCCCUGGCCUGGCAUCCAGUGGGAUGAGCAGAGUGGGUGGCCUUGACACAUGACCUUUUUCUGCUGGACUUUGAGCAGCUCAGUGGUAAGACCCCUUUCUUUAUAUUAGAAGUCUGUGUUAUUGGUUCUGGGUGGGAGCUCUGAUUCAGACUGUGGCAGCUGCUUCCACUUGAGCUGGGCUUUGGUUGGAUGAUGAAAUCAUGAAGCUUUGUGACGGAGGGGCAGUAAAGGCAAGGUAACUGAGGUGUCAGGCUGCCUCCGGUCACAGUGGAUGUGACAGAGCUCAGCUGCCAAGUGGAGUAUGUCUUCUCACUCUUUGUGCCCUUUUCAGCCAUGUCCUUGUUUCUGUGGUGAGCACAGAAUACAUCUGCCAUGGUGGUGGUCCCCAGACUCAACUCACUUCCUAGUACUAGCAAACACCCAAUCUCUGUCCCCAUGCUGAGGAUCUCUCAGGACAUUCAAGGGACCAGGGCACUGGUGAGAAGAGUGUAGAUGGGGAAAGCUGAGCUGCUCAAGGUCAGGAUGGCAGUGGAGUGUAAGGUGAAGCAGUCUGGACUUUAAACCUGAAGGGCUGGAGUUGGAGAAUGAUGUGCUGAUGCUUGCAAUUUUGAAAGCUCCACAUCCCAGGAGUGGCAGUGCAGAGCAGGUUUAUAGCAGACAGCUUUGGAGGCCACUAUGUGGCCUGGGAGAGAGGUAGCUAACAAGGGCAAGGUGAGGGCAGCAGUCAGUCAGGAGCUGGAUGCUGGUGCAGGAGCAGAAGGCAGAGGAGUCAGUCUUCUCUAGUAGGCCUCUCUAAGUGUCACUUUCUGGGUGACACUGGCUAGGGUCCCAUCCCUUUUGACCUUGGAGUGACCUCUUUGGAAAGGCAUGUGACUAGUGCCUAACAGUGGAAUUUUCAUCACUUGCUGUCUGCUUGGCCAGAGUGAUAUGGUCUUUGUUUAUUUUUAGUUGCAGCUUGCAUUUGGUGGGGGCACAUGGGAUUCCCGACUUUCCAACAUCUCUUGCUUGUGCCUGCACUGGAACUAAAGAAGUCAAAACAAAUAAAACAUUUUGACAUGGCACAAGUUGAAGAAAUCCCAAUUAUUGUAAAACUACUUUAUUUUCCCUCCUCAAAGGGGAGAGAAAAAAAGCAUCUAACCGUGUUGGUUGGUGUGAUUGAAAAAUGCACCUUGGUGCCCCAGUGGCUCUGUUGCAGCAUGUUCUUAAAGGGUGGGGGAAGCUGCUGACAGAGACACUGAGAACAGCCUGCCUGGGUCACCUGACUGCGGCUGGCUGGGCUCCUGAGCCUCACCACCCUCAGAUGCCAGCCCAGAUUCCUGGCCCAGUUGGCUAUAUGGCAUGUGACUCAGGCUCAGAGGAGGAGAGGGAAUAAAAAAGUAGUAAACCUAUGAAGAAGCAGAGCUAUGGUUCAGCAGCCCCUCUCCUCUUUUGGAGGUACCUUUCCCACACCCUAUAUGGUUUUGUUCUUCAGCAUUUAUUCCUGAGGGGAAAGUAAGUUAACUGCAAAUGGUCUUGAUUUUGGCAGUGAACCUUCCUUUUCAUCUCAUUCCCAGGGAGGUUAAUAAAUACCUUCACCUAUUAGAAAGAAAAGUAAAAGAGAGAUUGGACCUGGCUGAGCCAAAAGAUGUGCUACAAACUGGAGUGAAAGAGUGACAUAGCCAAAAACAGGAGCCUAGAUCCUGCGGGGGUCAGUGCCCCAGGCUGCUGAAUGUGUGAUGUGCUGAGAUGAAUGUGUUUUAAUAUGCCUUGGAGGAAAGACGAAAACUUACUUUCCCCCACGCUUGUGUGAGAAUCAGGCAUGUCCUUGUGGAUUACAGAGAAGACUCCAGAAGUUGCUGUUAACAUGGUACCAUGUUACUGAAGCACUAUGAUAAGCUGCAUAAGAGCAUGGCAUGGCCAAUCUGAACAUGGUGGUGCAUGCCAGUAAUCCCAACUGCUUGGGAGGCUGAGACGGAAGGAUCCCAAGUUUGAGAUCCAGCAACUAGGGGCUGGGCCAAAAACAGAGCAAUGGAAACCUGAGAAGUGACCCCAGCCACACAGGGAUCAAUACCUAGUCUCCAACUCUCUUUAGCCACUGCUAGGGGCUCAAAACCAGGCCUCCACCUCCAAGGGCACCUGAAGCCUAAUCAAGCCACACAGUGCCUGCUUGAGGAAUAUCACCUGGUCUCUCCAGGCCCUACGGAUCCCCCUAGGAAUGGUACAGGAGGGGCUGUGCUCAGUUGCUCCCUAACAAGUACGGGGGGAGGGGUUGAGCCAGGCACACUUGGUUUGAAGCUUGGCAAGCUGGAGAACAGGGCAGACACCUGCUGGCCAUGCUUUUUUCCUCAUUGCUGGAGAUCAAACCCAGGACUUCAUGCAUGCUCAGCAAGUGCUCUACCACUGAGCUAUAUAGCUCCUGGUUUUUAUUUUUAUUUAUUUAUUUUAUUUUGUUUUUGAGACAAGGUCUCAAUAAGUUGCCUGGGCUGGCCUUGGACUUGUAAUACCCCUGCCUUAACCUGGGUGUCUGCCACCAUACCUGGAUGAUUCAGAAGGCUUGGUGGAGGAGGCAGUGUUGUGAAGGAUGAGACACAGACAGAAUUUGCAGUACUCUCCCACGUGCCAUACCUCAGGGGAGCUACCUUGUGAGGGUGUUCUGUGGCAACUGGGGACGUGUGCUGGGGUCCAGAACAGAAACUGGGAGAGCUUGACAUCCUAAAGCCCUCAAGAAAUUGUUGACUUUGUGUUUCUUUUUUUUUGGUACCGCGUUGAACUUGGGUCCUUGCACUUGCAAGGCAAGCGGCAGAACCACUGAGCCAAAUCCCCGGCCCAACUUUGUGUUUCUUAAUGAUUUCCUGUACAAAAGGAGCCUUCUACAAUAUAAGGCAGUACAAAUGGGUCUAGUCAGUCUGGUAGAAUCUUGGGUAGGGCAGACACGGGUUGGAAAAGACUGAGAGGAAGAGGAAGAGAAGGGCAAGGAACCAGGAAACAGGAGCACCAGUCUUCUUUUUUUUUAGUCAUGCUGCUUGAUUUUAUUUGACUCAGAAUCAGUCACUUCACUUCUCUGAGCUGCGAUUUUUCUCUCCUGGGAGUAGUAUUGCCAACUUCACAGCAGAGGAGGAGCACGUAAGAUCAUUCAAGUCAGAGUCUCUAGUACCUUCUCAUUUUCAUUUACUCCACAAGUACUUUUUGAAUGCCCACUGUGUGCUGGCACUGUGCUGAAUAUGUUAUAGGCUUUUUGUUUAAUUCUUAUAACCAUUCUGAGAAGUAAGUACUAUUAAUGCUCCCAGUCCUUUGUGUGGUUUUGGGGAUUGAAGCUAGGUCUUGCACAUGCCAAGUAUGCAUUCUACUACACCCCCAGCCCUCUUGUUCCCUUUUUAUAGGUAAAGAAUUUAGGGUUUAGUAAGAUCCCCAGGGUCAUCCAGCUGGUGGGCAGUAGUCCUAGGAUUUGGACUUUCAACUUAAUACUUUAUCAGGAGGUGGCAAACUAUAGCCUGAUGACCAUAUCUGGCCCGAUGCAUGUUUUUAUAGAUAAAAUUAUUUUGGAGCACAGCCACACCCAUUCGUGUGUCUGUUAUCUAUGGCUGCCUUCAGGCUACUGCAGCAGAAUGUAUGGACUGAAUGAAUGGUCUACAAAGCCUAAAACAUUUACUGUUUCACCCUUUACAAAAAAAAAUGCACUGAGCCCUUCUUAGUAUGGAUACUCUGAACUUCAGAUGUGUGUUCUUCAGUAUGGUAGCCACUAGCCUCAGGUAACUAUUUAAAUUGAAGCUAAUAAAACUGAAGUCAGAAAUGCAGUUCUUCAGUUACAUUAGCCACAUGUCAAGUGCUCAGUAGCCACCACAUGUUGGACAGUGCAGAUGCAGAACCUUGUUACUGUAGAACCUUCCAUUGGGUAGGAGAGCUCUAGGCUAUCUUCCAGUGUGUGGGGAAUCCAAAUCUGAGAGAACACUCUGGUAGAGGACCCUGGAGCUUUCUGGCCUAGGAACACAGAAUUGAGAAUUAGUUCAUUGACUCUGAGUUGAUGGAAACAUUUCUGCUGUGGCAGAGGUAACCUUGGCUUAACGUAAAGAGCACAGCAGACCACAGCCCUGCUGCUUUUCAGCCUAUAACCCCUGGUUCUGAACACCCCAGGACCCUUAAUCUCCCACUCUGCUGUGUCUACUCCCUGUGUGUUUGCAUGCCGGGGCCUGCGGAAAUUUGCAGAAACUCACUUUCCUGCAUUCAGAUCCUGCUCUGUACUGGACCACCUGGACCUGAUGGGUUAUACCACUCUUCUUGCUGUGCUGGGAGGAGAUUUCUGAUUGAUGCAGUGGCCAUGGACAGCUGAUAAGGAACUACUUUAUUCACUCAAAAUGGUGUCUCCUGUGUAGAAUGAGGAAGGAAGAUGAGAUCCAGGCCCCUCGGCUAGCUGGUGUCCUGCGGCAAUCCUUAGAAUGCGGUCCCAGCAGACAUCGCAGUGCAGUCGGGUGAGCUGCUGAGAGCUGGGCUGAACUGUAACUCUUGUCUUCCUUGGCCAAAUAUGCUUGGAAUAGGAAUCUUUGGGAAACUACUCAGACGUAGAGUCAUUCUGAGGUGUAAAGGCAAAUAUGGAUAGCAUGGAUUCCCAGUUCAUGGAAGCCAGCCAUAAGCAUAUGAGUGCCAGAACCAGCUCUCCCUCACUUGCUGAUGCACUCUGUGUGAGGAAAAGCAGUGUGGGUGCUUGCUGUAGGCCUGUUCAUGGUCUGGGCUGGCUGCACUGGCAUCUCUGAGAUGGGCUGUGUUGUCCAGGAGUCCAGUCUGCACAAAUCUCCUUUCCUUAGGCAGUGUUCACUCUUUUUAUAUCAGGAUGGAAAUAUUUAUAAAAAUGCAAGAAUAAGAUAGCAGCAGGGCUUUUCUAGAUAUCAGAUCAGAGUGAUAAAAGGAGAAAGACAUAAGCCCGGUGCAUCUAGCCAUAGAAGAGUUGCAUGAAAGAAGUAUCUAGGAAGGAGGAAGUUGGAAUUAGGAGGAUGUUCAUGGAAACAAUUUUUUUUCUUCUAUGCUUUAAAAGAGGAAACAUCCUGGGAAUAGCCCUUGAAGGCCAAACUUGAUUGCAUAUGCUUCUCCCUUCCCAUCUGCAUCUUUUAACACUUUGGUUGCUUCUGGCUGCCCACUCCCAGAAGAGUCUUCUAUGUCUUCUUUAACUAGUAUAGGGUAAGGUUAUGGCAGAUCAGGCUGUGCCCAGAACUGUUCCCUGCUGUCCCAGCACUCAGAAAAGAGAGCUAAUUGUGUGUGCCCCAAAAGAACCCUGGUAUGAAUCAGUAUAUAAUGAAAGUUGUCUCUUUUACAUGGAGAGAUGGAGUUUGUUGAAUACCUACUAUGUGCCAAGCUUUAUGUAUACAUUCUGAUCAGAUUGUCUCACACAUAGCCCUGCCUUACAGGAAAGGAGCUGAACUUGAGCCAUAUCUCUGAGUGUGGGCCACUGUGGGCUAGAGCCUGGCUUGGAACCCUGGUUCUUCUCUUCCAAGGCCUUUCUCUCUUACCCUGUUUUGUUCUUAGUCAUGCACUAGCUGCUGUUUGCAAUCUCUUCUCUGGAUGGUUCCCCAGUCACAUUGUUAUUGUGGUCUGUGGGCAGAGAAGUAGGUUGCUCUCUAUGGGGUGACAUUUAAGAAAGCCAGCUCCAUCGAACUUUCCCUUUGAAUGUGUUGUUAUGGUACAAGAAGUCUUCAUUUGUCCUGGGUUAUUUUGAAAUAAAAAGCAGGAAACUCCCCUCUUGUUUCUAUAUCUUGCAUAGAAGUCAUCCAAACAGAAUCCUCUGUUCUGUGCAGUAGUGGAGGGAGGAAGCAGCUGUUCUGUUCAUGAUGACCCAACCAAAGGCAGCAAUCUGGAGGUGUCAGGGAGCCAGAAUUAUCUGUCCCACCUGCUAAGUUUACUUGCAUUUAUUUAAAGUAUUUGGCUUGAAAACUCUUUCUUUCCCCCACCCCACUCAUGUGGGAGAAGCCAGAGGGAGCUUUCCUGGUGAUGGCAGGUCAGACCAGAGUCCCCUCUACUCCACCUAAUGUCACAACUUGCCCCUGGAAGGGAGGCACAGCUUCGGAAAGGAUCAACUAUCUUCUCCAUUCUGUGGCUGGAGAGGCAGGCCUCCACUGGGAUUGGGAGUUUCACGGGUCUACUUUGAUGUACAUGGAAUUUCACAUCUGAGCUUUCUAGCUGUUUGAGGCCUCUAGCGAAUUCACAGAAUGAGCCAGGGAGCGAUGCAGAUGGAUAUACAUGACUAUGGUUUGUUAAGGCCAAAGUGAGUCCACAUGGCUUUUUGAACCAAGAUGUAAACUUAUAAUUGUACUGUCUAGGUGUUUUCAGAGGUCUUAGUAGUUAGGAUCAUUUAGGAUAGAGUUUGUACACUGGUGGAGUGGGGGCCAGAUGUGGUCCUCAGACAUGAUUUGUUUGGCCCAAUGAUGCUUUACCAAUUUUUGAAUUUCUUGACAACAUUUAAAAACCAAGGGAUUGAACAAAGACUAGAUUUUUGGCUUUUCUUAACAGGCUAGACAAUUUUUAAUAUUACCCAGCGCCCUCUUUCCCUCAUAGCCCCACAGCAUUUAGCUGUAGCCAAAGCUGUCUUCUGUAGACGGGGCAUAUGCUCUGCAUGUGGUCAUAGUUCCUACCCAACAUGGCUCACUCAUUUAUGUUCUCCGCGUGACCCCAAAAGGCAUUUGAGUUUGAGAUUUCUGGAGUAGGCAAGAAAUUCAGAAGACAGAUUCAAAAUUUUUGGUUUUCUAGGUCAUUUGGUGCAAGGCAGGCUGUGGUGAAUGGUAGCUACUAGAGGAAAUGUCCAGGCUGCUAUUUCCUCUGCUCAAGGUCACUGCCCCCAUAAUUCGUGCUAGCACUUCCACCUGUAAGUAAACUCAUUCAUGAGCUGGAGCUCAGACAAGUCGACAUACUAACUGGUUUGUUUGUUUUUGGUACCAGCGAUCGAACCCGGGUCCUUGCACUUGCCAGGCAGGUGGCAGAACCACUGAACUAAAUCCCCGGCCUCGACAUACUAACUGGUAAUGUUAACUGCUAACUCCAGCCACCAAAUGUGUAUCUUAGGUCUCAGCCCAGGGCUCUUUUACCCCAAUGUCUGCCCCAUGUUGCCCUAUAGAUACCCAGAAACUGAAGGAUCCUUUCUGUCAUAUUGUAAUCUUCUUAGUCCAAUUUUAACACAUACUGCAAGGUUUUUUGUUUUUUUUUUUUUCAUACCGGGGAUCAAACCCGGGUCCUUGUGCUUGUGCAGCAGGCGCAAAACCACUGAGCUAAAUCCCUGACCCCCAAGUUUUUUAUUAAAACAAGUGUAAAUUAAAACACAAUUCUCAGAAUAUUCUAGUUUAUUCUUUUCAAUAGAAACUCAGUAAAACAAGUAAAGCUUCUCCAAAUGGCAAUAUACAUCUUAAGUAUUGAAGUUUUCUUUUCAAAUUUCCCUUUUAUUUAUCUUUUUCAUUCAGUGCUGUUUUUUUCUUCCUUUUGUGGCACUCUGCAAACAUUUUUUUCCUUCUGAAUGGUACCCAUUUUUCACUAUAUGGUCAGCCUUUGAGCUUCUUGGUGUCAUUCUGGGUUUUUUGCUGAAUUUGAGAAAUGCGGGCUAUAAAUCUCAUUGUUUGGGAACCCUUCCUGCCUCCCCAGAUUUGCAGCAGAAACAUAGCAUCCUUAUCUGCUUCCUCUUCCCACAUCAUCCUGUGCCUUCAGGGUGGGUUCAGUCACUGAUUUUGCUAGGCAAGGGCUCUUGGGAAGGGGCCCAAAGGCCCUGAUGAUGCCAGUGUCCUUCUUGAGUGUUUCUAGAGACUGUUGGGAACUCUUUAAGGACAAGGACUCGGUCAUUUUAAUCUCAACCCCAGGGUCUAGCUUAGAGGAAGUGCCAGGGUAGACUGAAAGCCUCCUACCCCUCACUGACAAAAUGGAGUUUGAAAGAGACUCAACCUUUAUGGAUCUUGCCUUUUCUCAUCUGUAAAUUGUCCUCACAGCUGCCAGAGUUCUGGGAUGGAAUCCACUGAAACAGUGGUUUGCAGACUCAAGGGAGCAGCCUACUCACCUGGAGACUUGUCAAAUAUUGCUGCUCGUGGAUGAGUCUGAUUCAGCUGGUCCAGCUGGUCCUGGGUGGGGACCGGAAGUUUACAUUUGUAAAGAGUUCCCAGGUGAAGCUGCUGCUGCUGCAGCUGGUGAUGCUGGUUCAGGGACCAUGCUUUGGGAACCACCUGCGUGAGAACCACAUUGUUGAAGUAGGUGCUAAAUGUAUUAGUGUUUACUCCAGUAAGGGUUCAGGCCACCUGGCUUGUGAGCCUGACCUACCCUUUGAUUAUCCCACUGUGCCAUGUGCACACAUUCAACACUUUGCAUCUUACCUUCUUGGAAACCCGACCUUAGAUAUUAGAUACCUAAAGAUGUUUUGGUUUUGGGCCGGGGAUUUAGCUCAGUGGUUCUGCUGCCUGCUUCACAAGUUCAAGGUCCUGAGUUCAAUCCCCGGUGCCAGAAAAACAGAAAGAUGUGUUGUUCUCCAGACAGCCAUUUUUAUGGAAGCAGUUUGUCUUCAGACUCUCAUUUUAGUAGUUGGAGACACAUUUAUUUCUUAUCUUGAAGCAGUUAUUUCUCUUACACCUGCCACUCACUGUGUAUUCCUACUCCUCUAUCUCCUUAUCUGGACUGUGGAUACCAAAGGAGUGGCCUUGUUGAGUUUUGAGUCUUGGUUUCCCAGAUGGAAUUAUUUUAUGCAUCCUCGCCAAAGAAAGGCUGAGGUUGGGUUGAGUCAACUUUAUGGAUGCAUUGGGGUGUGCUGAACUCUGGGAUGCUUCCUCACAUUUCCAGCCGACUGCCAUCCAUCAGUCCCCAGGCUGGGCUCCUUGUGUCUAAGAUGUCCUGAAGUCAGUGUCCCUGUUUGGUGGCAGGAACUAGGAUGCUAACAAUGUCCAGAGUCAGCUGUUUCAUCCCUUCUUCUUUUACCUGGUAACAGAUGAGCCUGGCCUGGGCUUCUGAAAGUGAAAGCGAGCUUUUGAUAGCUGGGAAACUGAGGGCCAGAGCUAGGAAGUGAUGUGCUUGAAUUGGACAGUUGCUGGAUCUAGAUAUUAGUGGUUGGCUGUCUGCAAAGAUUGGUUGCAUCUCACUUUUGGUUUUCAUUUGUCUAGAGUGAGUGUGAAAUCACUGCUGGCUUUGUAUCCUCAGUCAAAGAUGGACUAGUUUUUAUUCUGUUAUCUUUAUCCAGCUUUGGCAUUAUCACAAUGUUGAUUUCCUAAAAUGAGGGGAGAAGUGUUCCUUCUUUUUCUGCUUUAAAUGUUUGAUAUAAUUCAUCAGUUAAAAUUUAUAUGAGCCUGUUGUUGUCAUAUGGGUUGGUUUUCAAGCUAGGAAUAUACUUUCUUUAGUAGGUGCUAUUCAAAUUUUAUAUUUCCUCCAAAGUCAGUUUCAUUAAUUUGUCUUCCAAGGUACUUCUUAGAAGUUGUCAAAUUCAUUUCAAAAGGAUUUUUGUAAUAUACUUUCUGUAUCCUUUUAAAUUCUGUAAAAUCUGUGGUAAUGUCCUCUAAAUUUUGAUAUUGUAAUUUUAAAAUGUAUAAUUGAUAUUAUGUAAUAGGAAGAAAAGGUCUAAAGGAGUAGGGGAAGUGGAGGUGUAGGAGAAAGGAAAGAAGGGAAAAAUAUAAGAAAAAGGAAAAAAAUGGAAACACAGUCUUUCUCUUUUUUUUUGGUACUGGGGAUCAAACUCAGGUCCUUGCGCUUGCACAGCAGGCAGCAAAACCACUGAGCUAAAUCCCCGGCCCUGGAAACAAAGUCUUUGUAAAUAGGGAAGGGUGGAAGGGGUGAAGGGAGGUCAGGGGAAUGGGAAAAAAUAAGAACCAAGAUACUCAUGUAAAGGUAGGUACAAGAUCCCAUUGAUGAAUGUAACUCUAUUUUAUACCUAAAAUGUACCAAUAAACUUAAUGGGAAAAAAAAAAUGGACUAGCUGGCAGCGAUGGAUAUUCACUGUCUUUGCCUAGCUUUGCAGUUUCCUCUUGGUUGUGCUUUGUAAAGUAGUCUUCCCCUUUCCACUCCUGCUUCUCAAAAACUAGGAGACACUGAGCCAGUCAUGGUUUGAAUGGAUCGUUUCUGCUGUUUUUCUGACUCUUCUGUUGUCCAGUGCUCUGCCUUCCUCUGCUACCAGCCCCCAGCAGCUAUAGUAUAUUGGCCCUUGUGCUUUCAUAACCAUGAAAACAUGUGGGGAGCGCGUGCCCUGCACAUGCCCCGAUCACAUAUUUGUGACUCUGGAGUCCGAGACGAUUGUGACAGUCUCACAUGGGGCUCUGUGUGGUCACCCUCUGCCCCCCAAGAGAGAACACAAUUAUUGUAUUGUCUGUUGGUAUUCUGGGUUAGCUGCGCGGGUUUGGACAGGGCCUGUUGGUAUCCUGGAAGACAGGAAUAACCGUUUUUCAGCUUUGUACUCUGAUGCUGCCAUUCUAUGGAAGGGGGAGGUUUGGGACACUUUUUCAGGAUCCUCUGGGUGUGCCCUUCAAAGCUCAGCCCCCUGCUUGAUGUUCUUGUCAGCCCAGGGGAGAGGCAGGGCAGGGUUGAUAGGGCAGAUUCUAUGAGCCAGACAGGAAGAGCGCGGUGUGGAGUGUGGGAAAGUGGUGGUGGCUUGAUUGCCCUGGGUGCCGGCCCCCACCCCAGACCUGGUAAAUCGUGCUGAUAUUGGCCAGACAUUGUGUGCCAUUCUUGUUUGGGCAACAUGGCCUCUACCUGAAGCCAAAAGGGAGCCCUCAAGUUCUUUGUUGUACUGGGGAUCAAACCCAGGGCCUUCACACUGAACUACAGCCCUUUUAAAAUUUUUUAUUUUGAGACAGGUCUCACUAAGUCACUAAGUUUCCCAGACUGGGCUUGAGCUUGCCAUCCUCCUGCCUUAGCCUCCCACAGUGGUGGGAUUGCAGUUAUGCACCACCAUCCCUGCUGCAAUGCCAGCUCUGUACCUCCCUUCUUGGGGUUAACAGACUCACUUCUCUAUCCUUGGCAUUCAUCUUGUGGUGUUGAUUAUGCCUUGUGGUCAACCUCUUUGAACAUUUGGUGUCUGUGUAGACUUGUUUGUGAACCUCUGUCUACCUUCAUCUGUCCCUAGCACAGCCAGCCCAGUGAGGGUUGGAUUUGGGACAGGACUUUAAUACCAAGAAGAAGUAAUGAUGGCAGAAGCACAACACGGGGCGUGCAUGGGAUCCAUUAGUUCAGUUCAAAUCAUCUAGAAAAUGCUUAUUUCCACAAAGAAGGCUCUUCUAAGGAACACAGCAUCACAUGCAUAUCUGACUCCUGGGACAGCUCUGCCCCUUGACCCUCCUGGCUCAGUGUGGAGGCUCCCAGGCCCUUGGGUCCCUUGUUCCAGUGGAGGUCCUAGAGGCCUGGGCCUGGCCCAGGGCUAGCCUUGCAAGUGCUGCCUCUCUUCAGGCCCUGGCUGCAGCCAGACUCUUUCUUCUAAAAGCAGAACACAGGAAAUAAAGCCAUUGGGGAAGGACUCUGGGCUCAAAAUUUGCCUGUACUGGGGUUUGAGCAGGGCUGCCUGCCACCUUUGCCCACUGAGACUCUGAUGAGGUCCCCUAGGAAGUGUGAGUGAUAGCAGAUGCAGGGAUUUUGUGUCAACUGCAGAGUCUGCUAGCCACUGGGCAUUUCUGCAUGCUCUGCUGUUGUGGAACCCAGAUAGCUUUGAGCCUAGCCUCUCUGUGGGCUAGGAGGCGCAAGGCUUCAAAUUAGUGUUAACAACACAAUUUUGAUAGGUGUGGGAAACCCCACAGAUGAGAGAUUUCAGCACCUUUUGGCACCAAGAAAGUUGAGACUUGACUUAACGUGGUAACUGUGUUUUUUGUUUCAGCAGACAUUUCCUGAGCAGCUCUUCAUGCCAGGUACUGGGUACUCAGGAGACUAAGGUUGAGUUUGUUCCCUCUCAGUUCGUGGUGGCAGCGACAGCCUCUGGUUCAAACUCUGAGGAAUACAGAAGCACGGGGCCUGACUCAGUAUGUGGUGUGAGCAGGGCUUCCUGGAGGUGGUGACUUGAGCUUAAGCAUAGUUAGUCUGGAGGCUGAGGAGGCUGAGAGGGUGCUGGGAGAGGCAGGAACAAGUGCUAGCCAAAGGGAGCAGUAAAGAUCUGGAAACACGCGAGAUACAUAGGGUAUUUGGGGAACAUGUGGCAGUGUGUGUGUGCGUAUUUUAUUAUGGUGCUGGAGCUCGUUGUACUCAGGCCUUGUGUAUGCUAGGCGAGUGUUCUACCAACUGAACUACAUCCCCAGCCCAAAAUUAAUUUUUAAGUAACAGGCAUUAUGUGCAUGGGUACUAACUGGACGGUGAAUACCAGUUCUCUCCUCAUCCCUUUCCCCCAGCAAACAUCUCGUUCCCUCUUGGGAGGUGCUCCUGUUACCAUUUUGUUUUCUUGUUUAUCUUCUCAGAGAUAGCCCAUGCUUGUGCAAGUGGAUCUAUAUCAAUAAUUUUAUCUUAUAUAUAUUGGUUUUUUAUUUCUUAGCUGCCUCCCAUCAAUGACUUCUUUAUGGAAGGGGCCUGGGCCCCAGUAUGGACUCUCAAAGCCAGACUCACUCAAGGGUGUGGUCAGUAUUGCUCAGACCUCCUGUGUGGACUCUGACCCCUGGACCAUGCCCAGCAGCAGGACUGGGCCUGCGGGCUGAAGCAGCUUCUAGUGUAGCUUUGCUAGCCCUGCCUGCUGUGGUCUUAUGGGCCGAUUCCAGGCCUAUACUAGGCUUUGUGCCUCACAGCUAGCACAGCUCUAGCCAAUGUUUUGUCAGUUUAUUUCUUUAUCUGGUGGUAGUGGGGAUUGAACCUAUGAUAUUUGCACUGAGCUGCACUCUCAGUCCUUUUUCUUUUUCUUUUUGAGACAGGGUCUUUCUCAGCUAAAUUGCCCAGACUCGGUGUGAACCAACUGCCUUGGCUUCUUAGAGUACUAAGAUUAUAGUUGUGCUCCACUAUGCCUGGCUUUUGUCAGUUUCUUAAUGGUUGAAGAAGAGUGCAGAAGGGAGAGUCAGGAUGGCUUUUGCACCCACCGCACAGAGUUGUGAUGAAAGUCCCUGAACUUCUCAGGACCCAAUUAUAUUAUACGGUUUGUUUUAAAAAGUGUACUCUGUGUCUUAGUGCAUUUUAUUUUACCUUUUAUUUCAUUCAUGAUCAGUCACUAAACAUUUUCACUUCUUUGGGAGUAGGGGCUGUGGUUUAUGUGUUCUGUCUUCUGCCUGUAUCAUUAUCCCAGCAGGCACAAAGUAACCACUCAGUAAGGCAUGGUUGAAUAAGUGAAUCUAGUUACUGAUCACAUAGGCUUUUCAGAGCUGACAGUGUGCUGUUAACUCUUCACCAAAAGAACCUGGAACUUCAUUUUCUUGCCCAAAUGCCAGCUUCUGACCAGUACCUAUUAAAUUUCAUCCAUUCUGGUCCCAUCCAGCUGUUCACCCUGACUGACAGGCUUUUCCCUGCCUUUUUAACCUUGUUAUUGUUCUUUUUAAGUUUGAGAAUCUUAAUCAUCAAUGCCACCUCCUUAGUGUGUCUCCUGGCGGAGGUGGCCAGUGUUGGUGGUUUAUGGGGAUCUUCCUUCUUCUAUUCAUUCUCUGGCUCCUCCAGAUGAUGCCAGGGGAAGGUGCCACCCGGCUUGGAGGUGUGUGGAGGAGUGGUGGGAGACUGGUAGUAGCGUUGCUGCUGAUUUACUGACCAAGCUUUCUGAGAGGAAGGGGAAGUCUACACUGAAACCUGGUUCAGUUGGCACCACUAGGGGGACAAUGACAGUAGUGCGACAGCCACAGCAGCAGCUGGUGUAUUUGGCAGUUUAUCAAGCACUUUAGGGUAUGUUGUGGACAAAUAAUAGAAUGAAUCUUUGUUUCUUUUGGGGCCUUGGCUGUUUCUGGUGAGGGAGGUGAUGCACUCAUCUUUGAGAUCAGGGUUACCUUUCACGGUCCUUGGAGUCUUCCUCACAGCUGUGCAGAGGUCUGCUUCAGGGCCUGGAAGAGUUCAGCACGGCCUCCUAGGGUGCCUUGCUUUAGGUAGCGACUCUCUUAGCUGUGUCAUUUCCUCCUUCCCACCCCUGCUCAGAUCUGUGCUCUUUGUCUCUACGAGAGGCCUGGGUGUCAUAUCCAGAGUGCUUAGAAGGAAGUGGAGAAGAGUUUGCAAAUAUGGCACCCUUUCCUUCUCCUGCUCUCCACACCCUGCCAAAAAAUAAAAAAGGACUCGAGACCCAGUGAGUGGUUGCUCUCCCAAAUUUCUUACAUUUAUUUGAUGACUUAUUCAAAGUAAUGUAGAGGUGAAUUUUUUGACUUAGCUUUGAACUAGGACUUAGUGAAAUCCUUAGUAGGAGACAUUUUGUCUAAGGAGUCUGGUGCUAUUUUGGUCUGUCUACAGAUGGCUGCUGUUACACAUAAAGGGAUUCCCACCGUGUUGCUGGGGCUGAUGGCCUGAGUGGUCUUACUGGAGUCGGCCCUGCCCUUGAGAACCCUCUCUGCCAAUAAGGAGUAGAAGGAUGGCUUUGGCAGUUUGAUCUGAAAGGUACCACAGAGGUCGGGUUUACUUGUCAUAUGACAGAUGUGUUGGACACCUGUGAGUCUUUUGUUUUGGUAGAUGUUGUCAUUCUUGAACUUGAAUGUGUGGUAGAGCUUGCAGGGAUAUAGGGUAGAAAAGAGAAGACAGAAGGCUACAAGUGUGAUUGGUAAGCUUGUCUGAUUAAUUUCUAUACAAGACCAAAAUAGGUUGGGGUAUGGCCCAGUCAGGUCAGAAGGGUCAGGUCCUGAAGUAUGAACGAGGUUAGGAUGUGACCUCUGAGGAGGAAACCUGGUGGCCCUCGUGUCAGCAGAGCUCAUUGGUUUCUUCUUGUGUCACCUCCAGUGUUCCAGUGUGAUACUGCUUUGGACCAAUGUGUUAGGGUCAUUAGGUCCCAGGCCCAAGAGAUAAAGAGAUCCACUGCCUUCCCAGUUGUGUCCUAAAUGAUAGCUGCUGAAAGAUUACCUUUCCUCUGUGCUGUGACUGUGGGAGUUCUAUGACAGUGCACUGACUUGUGGCUGUAGCUACUAAUAGGAGUGGUUUUCCCUGCCUCAUGAACUGGAGCCACUGGUAGGAGACCUUUCAGAAUACUAUUAGCUCCAUUGAAAGACACCAAAGCAGAUGAUCCUGCAUACUUCAGUACUGAAUUUGGAAAAUGGACCCCUUCCUGUGCACCUCAACCCUCUGUAGAUACAUAAGAGGAGGGGUGACUCUAUACACCUGCCACUCCCACCCACCCUGUCCACUGCAAGCAGAUCCAAAUGUCAGCAUAGCUUCCUGCGGCCACUCUGUUUUCUGGUAAGUCAUACCUGAGCCACUGUGGCAGGGAAUGAGGAUUGGGGUUUGCUGUUGUCUUAUUUCUUGAGAUUUUGAACACUCUGGGUCAGGUUUGAGCUGGAUAGGAAAGCCACUCUGCAUAUAAUCCACCAUUCUACUUGGUCCAGGGUAGGCUUGGGGGUUCUCAUUUUCAGAUAAGAAAACAGGAUCGAGAAGGUUCAGUGACUUGGUUAAAGCUCCACGUGCUAUGUGACUGCACUUAGACUGUCACUAGUCAGAGACAGAACUUGUUUAGCCCAGCUACCCUUUAGGCAGUUGAGGGUACCAGGCCCAAAGAAGGGGAAGUGACCUGGCAGAUUAGGUGGAGCUGGCCAUUGCUACAAACAGACCCCUAUGCCUCCUAAGUCUUACUCAGCACAGGCUACACGGUCUCUUGUUUGUGCACCUUUAUUUUUAAAAAAUUAUUAUUUUUUAACCCCUCAUCUCUCUGUUUUUAAUCAUGGGUUGGUUAAAUUCAGUAUGCUUUAAAUGGGUCUGACUGAAGAACAGGUCAUGGUUGUCUUAAGCUAAGUGGCUUAACAUUAUAGAUUAUCUUUGGGGCCCUUGCUCUCUGCUCACCCCCUCUGGUUCCCUGCCCAUUCUUGCCCUCACCUUGGUGUGGUGGAGAAGGCAGCGUGUAGCUCUCUGUACCCACCCAGUAAGUAUAAGUUCUCCUCACCUCCUGUCCUCAGUCUCCUUCGUUUUGAGUUUGUUCAGCAAAUUCUUAUCUGUAGCAUGCUCUUCUGUUAGAGUGUUUGGUGAGCUUAAAUGACAUGAGUGGUAGUGAGAAUCCUGGGAGUGCUUAUAGGAAACUUGUCUUUCAGUUAUUUCUCAUUGAUAAAUGAGCUCUUGACAAGUCAUGCAUGCAGUUGGCCUCAGUUUCAAGAAACAACAUGGGCUGUCUUGUUCCCAUGUUCAGAUUUGUUUUGGCUUAGGAUCGCAGCACUUUCAUGUCCUUGAAUAAUGUCACCCUCCCCUCCCCCAAUGUUAUUUGCUUAAAAAAGCAGAAAAUCCCUACAACACUGUGAGAGUGACUGAAAAGUACUAGAGAAUAGAGUCCUGAUUUGGUUCCACAGCUCAUCUUACUGUUUUCCUCAUUAAGAGAGACCCAUAGGGGAAUCUGGGCCAUUUUGUUCAGCCAGGGGCACAGGUUGAGUUUUUCUAGCCAUGUAAUGUGACUGCCAGUCCCUCCCCAAAUGUGGGCUUCAAGUGGCCUUUGACACCUGAAAGAGGGGGCUAGGGAAUAUAUAUUCAUUUUAGUUAUUGAAGUAAACACCUCCAAAGACAUGUUUUUUUCUGGAGUGAGGGACAGGAAUGGGGGUAAGUGUGCCCUCUCUGUUUAAGGAUAGCAGAUGGUUUGUGCCUAAAGCAGGAAAGUGUCUCUCAUCCUCCUGAAUGCCUUGCAUGCAGUCCUAGGAGUGAGGCACUGAGAGACUCAAAAGCAUAUUUUCUGCCAAGGAGCUCAUGCUAUGUCUGUGGAGGCCAGGUAUUUUAAAAAGUCAGUUUACAAGUAUUUAGUAAGUGCCUACUCUCUGGUAGGAAUUGUGCUCACUUAAGGAUUUCAGUACUUCUAGGGACAUUUUUGUCAUGCCCACACCUUACAGGGCAUUACCUCCUUAACCAUCUUAUUCCUGAAAUGAGCAGGACAAGGAUAGCUUUUUAUCUAUUACAAGGGAAGAAAAUGAGCUUAGCAGAGUUGUGUAGAUUAUCUUGGGUCAUACAGCUCAUCUGGGAUGGAGCAGGGAAGUGUAGCUUAGGGACUCGAAGUCCAGUGCUCUUUCCCAACUUUGGUACUGGCUUAGGAAAUAAACAUUAGUGAGGUUUCUUGCUGUGGCAGGUUCAGUGCUGAGGCCAGAGGAUGACCGAGGCAGGUGUAGACCUAGGUUGCACAUGUGGUGGGGAGCUCCCAGCCCCAAUUAGAAAUGAACUUUGAGAGGGGAGGACAGAGUGGCCUGUGGUGGAGAGUGGAAGGGAGAGGACCAGGAAAUUGAGGGCAGGUGAACACAGAUUUUGGCUGGGGUAGCAAGAAGCCAAUGGAACUUUCUUCUGUCCCGGGAACACCCUGAGUUUCCUGGGUGACACUUCCCCUUCUGUGUGCACCCAGCUUGGCUGCACAUCGGUACAAUUAAGUAUGGAGAGUGAUGAUUCUCUGUCCUGCUUCCCUGUUCUCCAAGACACUCCCUCAACUGCCCACUGCCCAUCCUCCCUGCCUGUAGUGGGACUCUUGGUGCCGUGCUUCAGCAUUAAGUUCUGGAAGGUUGAUGUUUGGCCUAGAGUUGCUCAGGAUGAGCUGUAUUUGAGAGGGGGUGUAUUGAAAGCUCACUGCUUCACUGUGACGCAGUGACUGUGCUUCAGUGUUUGUCCAUUAACUGAGAAAUCAAGUACGUGCUUAUAGAAUAUCAUGAAAUGCAUAGGUCCUAGAGUUAGAUCUAGUAGUUGAGACAAAACCUUGGAAGUUCAGGACAUGUGGGUUGAGCCUUUGUGCCUUGCUCAGAACUGGGUGACCUCGGGCCUGGACUUUAGUUUUCCCCUCAUGUAAAACGGGAUAAGCACAGUGCCCUUCUGUAGUUACCCUCUGAGGAUGCAGUUGUGAUGCCUAUUAUUUAUUUCUGAUGUGUCAAAGGUAGACUGUGUCACCCAUUAUUUCUGCAGAUAGAGACCAAGAAGAGCUAGGAAAAUGGUACUAAAAAGUUGAUGUUUUUGCUGAAUGCUGCCUUUAUUGUAGGAUUUCCUUAAAUCAUUGGUAUUGAGCAUGUCCUUUAUAUUAGAGUAUUGACUAAAGAGGGUUUUUUUGGGGGGGGUCCUCUUUUUUUCUUUUAUCAAUGAUUUUUUAGUAGCACCCAGGCUUCUGGACUGAGGGGGUUAGUUGAAAUGUUCAUUGUAGUGAGAAUCACAUAUUCUGGGGACCUAUUCUCUGGUUGAAACUCCAGACUGUCUUUCCAGUAUCUGCUUGGUUUGAGAAAGUGAAUCUCUGGGUAAAGUGCCUAGGCAGCUUUUCACUUUUUUCUUUGAAACACAGCUGACACAGAUAGCAAGGGAAGGGCAUCACUAGGCAGAUUCCUUUCCCUUCUCUUCUGCAUAGGGAGCUUACCUGUAGAAUCCAGCUCCCUUCAACCCUUCUUGGGUAUUUUGCUAGUCUCAGCAUCAGGCAGAAGACAGUAUGACUUCAAGAAGUACACUUACCCAAAUGUUUGUAAAUUUGCUUCUAGAUUUUGUCUACAGAUGACUUUUGUUACACCAACACUGAAGUUAUGAAAGUUUAAAAGUGCCCGAGACCUUCACAAAGAUCUUGGGGAAUUGCUGUUUCCCUCCCAUUUCCUUUGCUUAAUGGGAGGGGGAAGUGGAAGCUCUGAGAGCAGUGAUUUGCUCAAGCCAUCAGGAAAAUCACUGUUGGUGGCCAGUUGAUGUUUAGGUUUUGGUUCGAGUCCUAUUCUUAAGGCAAUGAGAUAAAUAUUUCUCUUCUGUAAAACCAACAUGGGCAAGUAGGCUAGGUUAAAUAAAGACACCAAAAGAAGGUUAAGUUUAAUAGUUUAUACCGAGUUGUAGAGUUGGCAGGACUUUCUUGUGUGCACCACAUGGGGUUCUUUCUGAUUCGUGAAAAGAUGAGAGUCUCAGACUAUAGUGCUCUGACAGCUAUGUUCAAGGGUUGCAAGCAUGUGAAGAUUCACUGAAGACUGAAGAAAAAGAGAAAGAACAUUUCACAUUCAAAAGAACUCCUGUGAGUGAGCAAAACCAUCUCUGUCCCUGUAUUGUCAGAGAGAGUAGCUCAAGGAGGCAGCUCACGGCUGGCCUUGCCCCUGCUAUCUAUAGGAUACUGGACAAAUGAUGUGACUUCCUGGAGACUCAGUCUCCUCAUCUGGAAAACAGGAAUACUACUAAUAGCAGUGCCUAGGCAUGUGGAGGAACCCAUAGUUGAUGCUCAGGGAGGUGAGGUUGAGGGCUGUGGCCCAAAGCGCAGUUGUGUGAGGGAGCAUGGGACUGGGGGUCCUCUCUGGGGCAGGAGUGAUACGGCUCUGGCCCUGGGCCUCUCACGGACCAGGGACAGUGACUGGCCAUGUGUGUACCCUCUCUCAUCCUGUAUACCUUGCUCCAGACCCAAUGCUGGGGAGCUCUGGGCUGUUCUUGUGCAGAUACAGCCUUGGGGAUUGGGCAUAGGCUGGAACCUUCUGCCACAACAUCUGCACCUAGGGACCAAGAGAGUGGUCCGGGAAGUUGGAUCAGGGAGCAAUGGAAAGUUUGCCUUGAGCUUUUGCUUCUUUGGUGGAAAUCUUAGGACGAGUCACUGAAUGGGGGCUCCUGGAGUCAGAGCCAGAGAGCAGUAGAGAUAUUCCCAUGUUCAGGUCGAGAUGCCAGCUUAGGGGAGACCCCUCCCCAGAUACUGAUCCGCCCUACAGAUAAUGGAGGCAGGAUGAGGGGCCUUGUGUCUACAUUGCCCAGGUAGUUCCAGCAGGGGCUGGAGGAGAAUAUGGGGACUGGGAAUUGAUAAUAGAAGGUUUAAAUAGAGACCAAGGGAACUAUGGAAGAGAUGCUGGGGAUGUGCGCAGAUGGGAAGUGCUGCCCAUAAUUACUUUUUGCACACUAAUGCCUGG